GAAGGACUUGCAUAUUUCCAAGGCUAUUCACACAUCUUUUAUUGAAGUGACUGAAGAAGGUUCUGAAGCAGCUGCAGCCUCGGAAAUGAUUGCUGUUAGCAGAAUGAUGGUCCUUAAUCCUCAGAUCAUUGCUGAUCAUCCAUUUUUCUUUCUGAUCAGAAAUCGGAGGACAGGUACCAUCCUGUUCAUGGGCAGAGUCAUGCACCCUGAAGAUAUUAAUCCAAAUAGACAUGAUUUUGAAGCUUUGUAGAUGCACCAGUUCUACACUGAUAAUGCCUCACUUAACAGCUUUUCAUUCAUAAAUGAUGUGUUUUGCAGUUUUUGCACUUUUACAGUCUGGUAAUUUUUGUCAUAACUAGCUGAAGUAAAAGAAUAGAGAAAAUUUGUAGGAAAUGUCUGUAUUUACGAAAUGUUUGUACUACUAUUAUUGUACCGUCACCUUCAUCUCUUAAAUACGUGAACAUUGUUCCAUAUUUAUAACAUUCUAAACUAUUUAAUUAUGAAGCCCUUGGUAAUACUCUUAAUGCUACAAUGGUAGUUUUAAAAAUAAAGUGAAAAUUAUGUGCCUUUGCUUAGAU
This is a long non-coding RNA of Rhincodon typus (whale shark), 578 nucleotides long. RefSeq lists it as uncharacterized. Lineage: Eukaryota; Metazoa; Chordata; Chondrichthyes; Orectolobiformes; Rhincodontidae. The record is from RefSeq and is a predicted model, not a curated record. The transcript is spliced from 3 exons.